Patella vulgata (common limpet) is the source of this 886-nucleotide long non-coding RNA. RefSeq lists it as uncharacterized. The record is from RefSeq and is a predicted model, not a curated record. NCBI's taxonomy places the organism in Eukaryota, Metazoa, Mollusca, Gastropoda, Patellidae. The transcript has 3 exons.
UCUGAAACGUGACGUAGGCGAUGUCAUGACAUAUUUUGUAUAAAACAAGAGACAAUAGAAAGGGUCUGAAGGUGAUGGAUCAAGAUUUCGUUUAUCGUGGAAGAGAACGGGUAAAAUCUAAGACAUAAAAAUGAAGAGUUUGAUUGUUAUAACAGUUUUCCUGAUUUCCUACCUAACUUUGUCUACAGCAACUCUUCUAAAUACACCACCGCUUCCAUGUGAUUCUGGAAAAUCAUGUGCCGCUCAAGCCAAAACCAGUGACGUUAAUGGCAUAAAAUAUUGCUGUUUAAAGGGAGGUAAUAUGAAAAUUGGCAGUAUCAAUAUGGGAACCGCAGUCAUGACUGAAUGUACGUGUGUACAACCAGUGUCCUUCCUCCUUACUGGACUUUUAGAAAAGUUUGGACAGUUUCUGACCCAGUUUAGAUUUAAAUAAACAAUUUGAAAAUCAGGUGUAUGUACACAUGUACCUUUAGGUCUCUGGUCAUCAUUGAGGGAUAAACGGGAUAUGGCCAAAACUAACCAGUGCCAACUAUAAACUUCACUAAAAUCUUUUGAUGGGAUUCGUUUUAAUCGGACUAAAUUAAAGCCGGGGGAUUAUCUACCGGUUUUAUUCUUUAAAAAUUUCUUUAUUAAAUAUUCAGUAAUCAAUUUGAGUACAUUUCAAAGUGGAUUAAGUCGUAAAAAUGUACAUUUUGCUCGCAAAAUGACGACCAGAGGCUUUAAGGUGAUAAUGUUAUGAAUGCUGAAAAAGCCACUCUGGUAUAGUCAUGCAACCCUAGCUAGUUCUUCAUAAUAUAAUGAAGUACAUAUGCGAUCAUAAACCUCUGUUCAUCAGCUACUUUAUUGUAUUAUUGUCUAUUUGUAUGUGUCUUUGUACAAUCGAUAU